RNAcentral lists this long non-coding RNA (629 nucleotides) under Numida meleagris (helmeted guineafowl). Its description in RNAcentral is "lncRNA (ENSNMEG00000002825.1)". The record is from RNAcentral. Lineage: Eukaryota; Metazoa; Chordata; Aves; Galliformes; Numididae.
GUUUACUCCACAUGGAAUCUCCGUAUUUUUAUGACAUGUACAGUUGGUUGUAAUGCCGUACUAGGUAUCAUGUACAACAUCAAAGAGCUAACAGCUCAGUCUGAAUUAUUUGUCUGACACCAGUAAUGGAGAAAAUGAACACUUGAAUCUUUAGCGUGUAUGUCCCCAUAAACAGGUCAUCUUCUAACCAAACGGGAGAUGUUGAGUUAGAAACUCCUUUUCCUGUUAUUUCAAACAUACCCCAAGCACAGCUCCAGCAGCCACUGAGGGUCGGUUGGGCAUGGAUGGGAGAGGGCUGACCCGACGUCAAUUUGUAGUGUUCCUUCAUUAUCUGCCCAUUCUAAUGGGCGUCUGCUGCACAUCAUGGACGCAAAGUGCGGAGCAUCGGGUGUUCACAGCUUCCCAUUGUGAAGUGAAGGUGUUGGGACCACCUUGUAUUCAGAUUAAAGGAUCUGUAUGGAUUUCCAAACAAAAAAAGUUGGAGUUCCUGUAUAAAACUUGAGCUCCAGCUCGGCAUGAAGACAUCAGAUGUGCUUCUACUUGAAAAAAACAUUGUUGUACCAGCAUAUAUCCCAUCUGAAUUUUUCUCCUGGGUAAAGUCUUAUAGAUGAGUGCAUCGUGCAUAAUGA